UUUUAAAAGAUACAAUUUAUUUUCUGACAUAACAGAUACCAAGAGAAAAGAAACUGACUGGAAAAUGGUGAACACUCAAGAAAUGUUGAAAGAAUGAAUGGAAGAUCGAAAGACCUCUGCUUCAGGUCGAGGAAUCUACUAUGGAUCUUACCUCUAUAAAGAAACAUGAAACAUCGGCGUGAUUCUUCUACUUACCAUCAUAUCAACAGCAUUUGUUGGAUCAUCACCAUUAUGAAUACCUUUACCCUCCACUCACGAGAGAUCAGCAACCCGCCAUCUGAAGACACAACAUCCUUCAGAGCAAGCCCAUAAUUUGUGGAUGAACCUUCUUUCCUACGACUGGCUAUUGGUUGCUACUUCAGGCCCAUUCGUUCCUAUUUCAGCUCAACCAUACUUUUUGUAGAGGCAUUUGUGAUGGUAACAAUGCUGUUUGGCCUCAUAUCGCGGCAUCUCCAGUGAUCGUUAUGGCAUUAGGUAGUUUUUAAUUUGGGGGUGGUUUAUCAGCAGGGCGGGAGCCUGGGGGACACCAUUAAAAGUGCAGACUUACAUAACAAGGCCAACAACAUUUUAAACGGACAUCAACUGAGAACUAUUUUCAGACACACGUUUAUUUCCAUCAUGGUGCAGAUAUAUGAAUGAUGAUUAAACAUUGAAUUAAUUAAAAGCAAGAUAGAUAUAUAUAUUGUUUAGAUAUUAAGAUAUAUAAUAAAUAUCAAUUAAUUUACACAUAUAAUCAAUGAUCAAUAGACAUAUUAUUAUAUUAAUAAACCUUACUAGACAUGAUUUUAUAUUCCCCCCCCGCAAUAUAUCACUUUCGAUUAGACAAU
This 827-nucleotide long non-coding RNA is filed under the name Sarcophilus harrisii (Tasmanian devil). Its description in RNAcentral is "lncRNA (ENSSHAG00000023971.1)". Lineage: Eukaryota; Metazoa; Chordata; Mammalia; Dasyuromorphia; Dasyuridae. The record is from RNAcentral.